Molecule: unclassified non-coding RNA, 347 nt
Filed under: soil metagenome
Description: partial contains 5.8S ribosomal RNA, internal transcribed spacer 2, and large subunit ribosomal RNA
Rfam family: 5.8S ribosomal RNA (bases 1-120)
Source: RNAcentral
GAUGAAGAACGCAGCGAAAUGCGAUAAGUAAUGUGAAUUGCAGAAUUCAGUGAAUCAUCGAGUCUUUGAACGCACAUUGCGCCCCCUGGUAUUCCGGGGGGCAUGCCUGUCCGAGCGUCAUUGCUGCCCUCAAGCACGGCUUGUGUGUUGGGCCCCCGCCCCCCGGCUUCGGGGGGCGGGCCCGAAAGGCAGCGGCGGCACCGCGUCCGGUCCUCGAGCGUAUGGGGCUUCGUCACCCGCUCUGUAGGCCCGGCCGGCGCCCGCCGGCGACCCCAAUCAAUCUUUCCAGGUUGACCUCGGAUCAGGUAGGGAUACCCGCUGAACUUAAGCAUAUCAAUAGCGGAGGA